GCCGUCUUAGCUCAGUUGGUAGAGCACGUGGCUUUUAACCACGUGGUCAUGGGUUCGAUUCCCACAAACGGUG
This is a non-coding RNA of Picea glauca (white spruce), 73 nucleotides long. Lineage: Eukaryota; Viridiplantae; Streptophyta; Pinopsida; Pinales; Pinaceae. The record is from Rfam.